This 209-nucleotide long non-coding RNA is filed under the name Phaseolus vulgaris (common bean). RNAcentral describes it as "long non-coding RNA (PVUL_LNC000828)". The record is from RNAcentral. Lineage: Eukaryota; Viridiplantae; Streptophyta; Magnoliopsida; Fabales; Fabaceae.
GAAGAGGGAUCUUAGACAGUGUUCUUAUGGCCAAUGAAGUUGUUGAGGAUUUAAGGAGAAGUGGGAGAAGAGGGUUGUGCCUAAAAGUGGACUUCGAAAAAGCAUAUGACUCGGUUAGAUGGGCGUUCUUAUAUGAUAUGCUAUCCAGGAUGGGGUUUCACAACCUCUGGAUCGCAUGGAUUAAAGGAUGUUUGGAAUCCGCCACUGUG